CUUAACCGUACGGACCGCCGUGCCCUCGCUACUGCGGCGGCGGGAUGGGAAAAGGCUGGUUCCUAUGGCGGCGAUGGGAAAGGGCUGCUUCGAUGAUAUCGACGCAGGAGUGGAUCCUCCCCCCAGCUGUUGUCCGUCUCCGCCCUCCGUCUUCUCUUUGCCUGCGACCCAAGAAGAAGAGAGGAAACCCUAAAAAAAGGGGUCUCCGACCCCCAUCUUCUCUUCGCCUGCGACCCAAGAAGAAGAGUGGAAACCCUAAAAAAAGGGCGGUUUUACCUUCUCCUCCUCCUCCUCCUCCUCUCUUCUUUCUCCUGCACGUCGCCGCUGCUCUCAUUAAGCACCUUCUGAUCCGAGGAAUUAAUUUAAGAUUGACAGUUCUUUGAGGGAGGUCGGAAAUACUGGGUUGGAACCUGAAAGCACUUGCAUGACAGAUGGAAGAUGAAGUCACAAGAACAGCCACAAUGGCUUUUCCCCAUGCGACCUACCGCAAUAGCUUCAAUUGCUUGGGCUGUGUGAAUGACUUGUCAACUCCCAACCUUGAUCAGGCUUCCAUUUGAAACAGGAUAGCCUCUUUUCAUGCCAUUGUAAUCUGCUCAACCUGGUGGAGACUUCAACCUUGUUGCAUGCUGCUGGCUGCAGUAUCAGACAGUCAGAACGACAUUGAUCACCAGGAACUCCAUUUGCAUAUAUCUACACCUCAGGCAGGGAACAUAUGAAAAGAUUUGUGUACUUCAUAAAGGCUUUAUAUCGGCACGUAUGAAGCACAGCAGCAGUGUUUCUGCAAACCCUCAACACUCCAGAAUCAUUAUUUUGCUCACUCAGAAGCAAUCAUGAUCUGGAACGGGCUUUGUGGUUUUCAUAAUGGGCUGAUUCAUGGAGAGAUCAGAUAGAUUAACGAGCCUAUUUAACUUGAUCUUGGAUUCAGUUUGUAAGGGGCAGUUCCUCCUGAACCAGCUCCAACAGAACUGGAACAUCUGCAGUUUGAUUCAGAAAAGGUCAACAAGUACCACACUACUAGGUUAAUGCAUGAGCGGUAGCUGUAUUCUGCAUCUUGUUCAGUCACUUCUGAGAUCAUGCGAGUCAUAGUAAUUAUGAUUACAAAGAUUGAUUUGCCAACAUCGGCAAAUUGAUGAUUGGGAAAGACCAUAAGAGGCAUCAGAAAUGGGUUUUUAUCAGACCCAGCAGGUGUGGAUUCUAGGGAAGAAUCCAUCAGCCCAUGUGUGCCACUGAAGCAUAACAUCUCUUCUCAUUAACCACAAACUUUUAUCCAUGACAAAAGGCAAAAGAUUCGAUUCUGAUCUUUUGGAGCUGACAAUGAUCCUUGAUAUGGGGCAUGGUAGUGACUACUGAGCUUUAAUGAACAAUUGGAGCAUCAGCCGUGGAUCAUAUGGCAUCACUUGUGGCUGACAGUUCUCUUGGAGAUCACUUGGCACAACCCCUUCAACAAGAGGAAUCAUUCAGCAUUAUCCACAGUCCAAACUAUCAAUUCUAUGCAAAGGUUCUGGGCUAAGACAAGAUAAGAUAGAACAAGAAAGCAUUAAUGUUGCAUGAGAUAGCAAUGCACAAAGAAUUGUAAUGAUCUCCCAAGCACUAGUAUUCUUUUCCUUGUUGGUCGAAGAUGAUGUGAAAUUUGAUCCUCGGAGUUGUCAGCUCGGCAUACAAAUGAUCAAUCAAUGCUCUAAGUAUGUUGCAUGAUUGUCGAAUCGUAGAAGACACUGCCAAAUUCCUUGGGCCAGCCAAGAACAUAACACUUCAAAGAGCACUAGCUUUUUUUCCUGCUCUCUUGCAGCAAGUUAAGCACUGAUCAAAAGGCAGGACCACAAGUUUAAGCCACCAUGGAACUUAGUCAUGUAAUAGAGUAAGGGGAAAGAUGGAUGAUACUUUGGCUUUUGUUAAAGAGCAUGCCGAGAAUAUUGCUGAUGAAAAUAUUCCAAUUUUAUCUUUGGUUUUAAAGGGAGAAAAACCAAAGACGCGUAAGGAAUACAUGGCUGGCAUUGCCAGUCUAUGCAAAUCAACCAAUCCUUCUCAAUUGAUGCAUAUUUUUCCACUGUCAAUUUGAACAUCAGCACAGAUAUGCAUGAUCAGUGCCCUAUUAGGCUUGAGUGUGUGAAACAGAGAAAAAAAUGUGGUUUUCCGAGGUCAAAUUGGAUCAAUUCUAUGAACUCAAUUCCAUAAAGUUAGCUGCAGAUAAUUCAAAGAAAGAAAGAAAGCGACUUGAUGGCUUACAAACCUCUUUAGGUACAUAUGCUUUUCUCUCUCUUUGUUUGAAGUGUUCAAACUCACACUUAUCCGUAGGAAUCUGACCAAGAAGCUAGCUCACUGAUCAUCUAUCUUUGCUAGAUAACUUGGUUUUAGAAAUGAGUGGAAGAAUCAGCAUCCAGUUGACUUGUGCAUCAAGAGGCAGGGUCUUGUGGAUGUCGUUGCGAUCACAUUUUUAUAUCAUUCUAAACUAUUUGUCAAAACUAGUUCAACCCAAUAAUAUCAUUCAAAGCUACA
This is a long non-coding RNA of Musa acuminata AAA Group (dessert banana), 2496 nucleotides long. RefSeq lists it as uncharacterized. Lineage: Eukaryota; Viridiplantae; Streptophyta; Magnoliopsida; Zingiberales; Musaceae. The record is from RefSeq and is a predicted model, not a curated record. The transcript has 4 exons.